UAAACGCAAGUUAUCAAAAUUAACUUUUUAAGCGAGCUAGCUAACAAAAAUCAAUUUUUUUAAAUUGUGUUUGAAGUUAAGUCUUUCAAUUAACUGUUGAAUUGAACUGCGUCAAUUUUCUGCAGAAAACAAACACCGUCCUCACAAUCUUCAACUUACAAUGACGAUUUGCAUCAAAAUUGCUCUUCAAAUUUGCGUGCUCUUUUCAAUUUUGUCACUCAAUCACUGCCAAAGCGUUAUAUAUGAUACAUCAACUGAGCCACAAUGCACAGAAAUAACUCAGAGCGCAACCCGGGAUUGUCGAUGGAAAGCAGGUUUGGAUCGAACUGUGGACCACAAAGUACUGGGAGGAAAGAUAGUGGCGUACAAAAUCAGGUGGUUCAACGGAAGUUGGUCUGGCUGGUAUGUGCCUGGCCUCCUAGAUAUCGACGGGAAGUUCAACCCGACAGCCAGUCCAUGCUCUGUGCCUCUGAAAGCUAAUUCCAUGCGACUGAUGUGGUCAUACUUCUACGACCAUACUCAUUCUUACAUUCUCUGUAAAUCUCAAGAAGUAUAAAACAUCGAGCUGUGAAAAUUGAUUGGCACAGAUUUCGCCCUACUACAGAUUUCGUCCUAUUCAUUUAAUAAACAGAUUUCGUCCCAUACAGGUUUUGUCCCUUAUCCAACAUCCUAUCAUCCCAUAUCCAAAUUUGUGGGACAAAAUUUGUUGAAAAUAAAUUGGGACGAGAUCUGUCAUGGGACGAAAUCUGUCACGGCCGUGAAAAUUAUGAACAGUUUAAUGCUCAGGAGAACUGGAAGAUCAAAACAUUCUUAUCAACUAAUCGCAUUUAAAGUUUAAUUAGUUUAAUACUGUUGAAUGUUAAAACGAGUGGAAUUGAUUAAAUUUUGUAUAAUACAGCUUUGAAUAGGCAUUUAACUGAAAA
Molecule: long non-coding RNA, 923 nt
Organism: Symsagittifera roscoffensis
Lineage: Eukaryota; Metazoa; Xenacoelomorpha; Acoela; Convolutidae
Exons: 3
Source: RefSeq, a predicted model, not a curated record